ACAUGUAGUUCUCAAGCAUAAAAGGGCCACAGACGACAAGUCCUAAAGUGCCAGGCCUGCCUCAGCGGGUCAAGCUCAUAGGCUGCCAUCUAGGCAGGGCUGUCCAAUCAAAGCUAAGCUGUUCUGAGGCCUGGGCUUGAAUAAGGCCCAGUGUGCUGAGAGCAGCUUUUGGGGACCAGGAAGGCUGGCGCUGCAACCUAUGAACCCCUGAGCUCAGGGUGCCAGAGUUGCCAGAGUUUUCUGAAUGGGCAGAAAGAGAUGAGGACCAGAUCACUGGUUGGUUACUACUGAGAAGAGGAGAAAGUUGCUGAGAAAUUUUAGCAAAUCCUAAGGAAGGAGCAGGUGUGGCACCUGAGCGCUGUUAAGACGGCUAUGGCUAUUAAACGCAAGUUCAGCACUCUCUCCUGGUACUACUGGCAAUACCAGCUGAUCACGAUGGCUUAUCUCAUGGAUCCUUUCGAAUGGUGGAUCUUCCACAGUUUGCUGCUUGUUUGCAUUAUGGGGUCGGCCUACGUUUUUUAUGCCGUUGUUCCUCCUCAGAUCCGCUUGGUUCUGAAGCUCGUUUAUCAUGUGUUUGGCUUGCAACCAGAAAGCACCAUUCCAGCCAUGAUGUGAACUUACAAUGCACAAUAGUGACUGUCCCCCCCCCUUUUAAGCCAUGUGCUUACAGAGACAUUCUGGGAUUUAUAAAAGCAACAUUAUUAUUAUUAUUAUUAUUAUUAUUAUUAUUAUUAUUAUUGCAAAGAAGCCUCAGGGAAGUCACAAUAGUUGCAUCCUUAUUCACCUUAUAUCACCUAUAGAGUCUCUGCAUGUAUCAAGCAGGUUGGUGGGUGAAAUGUCAUGUAAUAUUUUAUUUUUUUAACUUAUCCAGAGAGGUUUGCUCCUGGGAUUUUCUUCAGCUGUAAUUGCUUCCCUUCAUGUUCAUUGUUUCUUACCAGAAUUAAAUCUCGCGACGUGCUUGUUUUCAUUCAAAUUUUAUUCCAAUUCAUUAUGUACCACUAUUCUGUGAGAAACUAUAAAAUGUGAAUAAAACACGGA
Molecule: long non-coding RNA, 1038 nt
Organism: Podarcis muralis (Common wall lizard)
Lineage: Eukaryota; Metazoa; Chordata; Lepidosauria; Squamata; Lacertidae
Source: RefSeq, a predicted model, not a curated record